This 464-nucleotide ribosomal RNA is filed under the name uncultured bacterium. Its description in RNAcentral is "partial 16S ribosomal RNA". It matches the Rfam family "Bacterial small subunit ribosomal RNA", at positions 28 to 506 of the family's 1533-position model. The record is from RNAcentral.
GACGAACGCUGGCGGCGUGCUUAACACAUGCAAGUCGUACGGUAAGGCCCUUUCGGGGGUACACGAGUGGCGAACGGGUGAGUAACACGUGAGUAACCUGCCCACAACUUUGGGAUAACGCUAGGAAACUGGUGCUAAUACUGGAUAUGUGCUCCUGCUGCAUGGUGGGGGUUGGAAAGCUCCGGCGGUUGUGGAUGGACUCGCGGCCUAUCAGCUUGUUGGUGGGGUAGUGGCCUACCAAGGCGGCGACGGGUAGCCGGCCUGAGAGGGUGACCGGCCACAUUGGGACUGAGAUACGGCCCAGACUCCUACGGGAGGCAGCAGUGGGGAAUAUUGCACAAUGGGCGCAAGCCUGAUGCAGCAACGCCGCGUGCGGGAUGACGGCCUUCGGGUUGUAAACCGCUUUCAGCAGAGACGAAGCUUUUUGUGACGGUACCUGCAGAAGAAGCACCGGCUAACUACGU